This 467-nucleotide ribosomal RNA is filed under the name uncultured bacterium. RNAcentral's name for it is "bacterial SSU rRNA". It matches the Rfam family "Bacterial small subunit ribosomal RNA", at positions 30 to 498 of the family's 1533-position model. The record is from RNAcentral.
AUUGAACGCUGGCGGCAUGCUUUACACAUGCAAGUCGAACGGUAACAGGCCGCAAGGUGCUGACGAGUGGCGAACGGGUGAGUAAUGCAUCGGAACGUGCCCAGUCGUGGGGGAUAACGCAGCGAAAGCUGCGCUAAUACCGCAUACGAUCUAUGGAUGAAAGCGGGGGACCGUAAGGCCUCGCGCGAUUGGAGCGGCCGAUGUCAGAUUAGGUAGUUGGUGGGGUAAAGGCUCACCAAGCCAACGAUCUGUAGCUGGUCUGAGAGGACGACCAGCCACACUGGGACUGAGACACGGCCCAGACUCCUACGGGAGGCAGCAGUGGGGAAUUUUGGACAAUGGGCGCAAGCCUGAUCCAGCAAUGCCGCGUGCAGGAAGAAGGCCCUCUGGGUUGUAAACUGCUUUUGAUAGGGAACAAAUGCCACUUGCGAGUGGAGCUGAGUGUACCUAUAGAAUAAGCACCGGCU